GGCCAUUCCUCCCCCCCCCCACCACCACCCCCCGACUGUAAAGAAUUCAGUCAGAUAAAUGUGUCAGAUAAUUCGGAUCCUUGUGUGCUCCCAGCAACCAUCAAAGUCAGAGUCAACAGAAGGAUCGUCGUGGUUACAGGAACCCCCAGCUGCGGGUUAUUGUCAACAGAAUGGAGCGGUAUGAGCUGCAGCACUUCCAGAUGUGACUUGUACAGCGGUCCCCAACCACCGGGCCACGGACUGGUACCGGGCCGCAAAGCAUGCGCUACUGGGCCACGAGGAAACGAUAUGAUUUGGCGAUAGGAGUCAGCUGCACCUUUCCUCAUUCCCUGUCACGCCCACUGUUGAGCUUGAACGCACGCGAGGUCAUUACCCGCACGUCAUCCAUGUCAGUGUGGGAAGGAGAUCAACUCCUCGAGCUUGCAAAUGACGACGGGCUGAAAAGUAUGUUUGACAUAACAUCUCUGCCGGCAUUUUAGAUCAAAGUCAAGGCUAAAUAUCCUGAGAUAGCCACAAAAGCACUGAAAACGUUGCUUCCAUUUCCAACAUAUCUCUGCAAUGAAUGCAAUGAAAACUAAAUUGCAGAAUAGACUGGACAUAAGGAACCCAUUCGAGUAUCGCUGUCUCCCAUCACCCCUCGAUGGCACCGUCUUGUUGCAGGGAAACAAGCCCAGGGCUCCCCCUGAUUCAGCGAUAUUGAACUUGGACUGCGCGAAUCACAUCUGCUCGUAGAGAUUGGACUGUGCAAAUUCCUUCUUGUGAAACAGAUUGGACUAUGUCAAUCACCCCUGGAUGUAAAGCUUGUGUCUGCAUGAAUCGCCUCAUGGAGCUUGGUUUCUGUGAAUUGCCUCACAACACAGAGCAGGGUUUGUAGAACAGUUAUUUUUAAGGCGCAGACUCAGACUAUUGCAUAAAAUGCAUGAGUCACCCCUGUGUCCAUAACUCAGGCUGUUUUAAGUGACAGUGUAGAACUCCAACUGUGUGAAUCAGAAUCAGGCUUCAUAUCGCUGGCAUAUGUCGUGAAAUUUGUUGUUUAGCAGUAGCAGUACAAAGCAAUAAGCUAUAAAUUACAGUAAGAAAAUAUAUUUAAAAGAAAAUUAACUAAGUAGUGCAAAAAGAGAGCAAAAAUAGUGAGGUAGUCUACAUGGGUUCGUUAUCCAUUUAGAAAUCCGAUGGCAGAGGGGAAGAAGCUGUUCCUAAAACAUUGAGUGUGAUUCUUCAGGUUCCUAUACCACCUUCUUAAUGGUAGUAAUGAGAAGAGGGCGUGUCCUGGGUGAUGGGGGAUCCUUAAUGGUGGAUGCUGCCUUCUGAGGCAUUGCCUUUUGAAGAGCAGAAUCAGAAUCAGGUUUAUUGUCACCAGCAUGUGAUGUGAAAUCUGUUAAUUUUGCAGCAGCAUUUCAAUGUGAUACAUCGUCUAGCAGAGAGAAAAUAUAAUAAUAAUAAUAAAUAAACAAGUAAAUCAAUUGCAUAUAUUGAAUAGAUUUUUUUUAAAUGUGCAAAAGCAGAAAUACUGUGUAUUUUUUAAAAAAGUGAGGUAGUUUCCAAAGUUUCAAUGUCCAUUUAGGAAUCAGAUGGCAGAGGGGAAGAAGCUGUUCCUGAAUCACUGAGUGUGUGCCUUCAGGCUUCUGUACCUCCUACCUGAUGGUAACAGUGAGAAAGGGGCAUGCCCUGGGUACCGGGGGUCCUUAAUAAUGGACGCUGCCUUUCUGAGACACCGCUCUCUAAAAAUGUCCUGGGUACUUUGUAGGCUAGUACCCAAGAUGGAGCCGACUAGAUUUACAACCUUCUGCAGCUUCUUUUGGUCCUGUGCAGUAGCCCCUCUAUACCAGACAGUGAUGCAGCCUGUCAGAAUGCUCUCCAUGGUAUAACUAUAGAAGAUUUUUAGUGUAUUUGUUGACAUGCCAACUCUCUUCAAACUCCUAAUAAAGUAUAGCUGCUAUCUUGCCUUCUUUAUAACUAUAUAGAUAUGUUGGGACCAGGUUAGAUCCUCAGAGAUCUUGACACCCAGGAACUUGAAGCUGGUCACUCUCUCCACUUCUGAUCCCUCUAUGAGGAUUGGUAUGUGUUCCUCUGUCUUACCCUUCCUGAAGUCCACAAUCAGCUCUUUUGUCUUACUGACGUUGAGUGCCAGGUUGUUGCUGCGGCACCACUCCACUAGUUGGCAUAUCUCACUCCUGAGAUUCUACCAACAAUGUUCUCGAUGCUGGAGAGGCUAGUGCCUAUGAUGGAGAUGGCUGGGUAUAUAACUUUUUCCAGUCCUGUAGAGUGGCCCUCCAUACAAGACGGUUGAGAUCUCGGUGUAGAUCAGAAUCAGAAUCCUUUAUUAUCGCCAAGUACGUGGACACAUACAGGGAAUUUGAUGCCGGUUUCCCUGAGCUCUCGCUGUACAGAAUCAAAAAAACAAACAAAACAAUAGUGCAAAUAAUCAUGAACUAUAUACAAUGAGGUAUACCUGUGUAUGUACAGGUGGACUUGGUUUAUAAUAGACGAAAAUUCAAGUAUUCAUAAGACUGAUGGCAUACGGAAAGAAAUUGUUCUUGUACCUAUUUGUCCUGGCAUACAGUGAUCUAAAGCGCCUACCAGAAGGAAGGAGUUGGAACAGGUGAUGUCCAGGGUGUGAUGGGUCUACAAUGAUGCUGCUUGCUCGCUUUCUGACUCUAGAUGCAUAUAAGUCCUGGAUCGAGGGCAGCUUCACACCAAUAGUCCUUUCCGCAGCCCUGAUGGUUCUUUGGAGUCUAUUCUUGUCUUGUUUGGUAGCUGAUCCAAACCAGACAGUGAUGGACGAACAGAGAACAGACUGGAUUAUUCCUGAACAGAAUUGAAUCAGCAGCUCCUGAGGCAGGUUGUACUUCUUGGGUUGACGUAGGAAAUACAACCUCUGCUGAGCCUUUUUGAUAAGAGUGUCCGUGUUGGGUGUCCACUUCAGGUCCUGGGAGA
Long non-coding RNA from Mobula hypostoma (lesser devil ray), 2937 nucleotides. RefSeq lists it as uncharacterized. NCBI's taxonomy places the organism in Eukaryota, Metazoa, Chordata, Chondrichthyes, Myliobatiformes, Myliobatidae. The transcript has 3 exons. The record is from RefSeq and is a predicted model, not a curated record.